This 201-nucleotide long non-coding RNA is filed under the name Musa acuminata (dwarf banana). Its description in RNAcentral is "long non-coding RNA (MACU_LNC011347)". The record is from RNAcentral. Lineage: Eukaryota; Viridiplantae; Streptophyta; Magnoliopsida; Zingiberales; Musaceae.
AGUUGUUUGACAUGUUAUUGGUUCAUCCGAACUCCUGGAAAAUUUUUGGCAUGUCAUUCAAACCUUCGGUGUAUCACCUGAUCCAACGACAUGUUGACUCCCACAACAUUCGAUCUUGGCACAAUGUCUAAUUCUUCUGGCCCGAUGCCCGAUCUCUGACUUCGGCCCAACGUCUGAUUCUUCUUGCUUUAAUCAUUUUUC